GACGAACGCUGGCGGCGUGCUUAACACAUGCAAGUCGAACGGAAAGGCCCUGCUUUUGUGGGGUGCUCGAGUGGCGAACGGGUGAGUAACACGUGAGUAACCUGCUCCUGACUUUGGGAUAACUUCAGGAAACUGGGGCUAAUACCGGAUAGGAGCUCCUGCUGCAUGGUGGGGGUUGGAAAGUUUCGGCGGUUGGGGAUGGACUCGCGGCUUAUCAGCUUGUUGGUGGGGUAGUGGCUUACCAAGGCUUUGACGGGUAGCCGGCCGGAGAGGGUGACCGGCCACAUUGGGACUGAGAUACGGCCCAGACUCCUACGGGAGGCAGCAGUGGGGAAUAUUGCACAAUGGGCGGAAGCCUGAUGCAGCAACGCCGCGUGCGGGAUGACGGCCUUCGGGUUGUAAACCGCUUUCGCCUGUGACGAAGCGUGAGUGACGGUAAUGGGUAAAGAAGCACCGGCUAACUACGUG
RNAcentral lists this ribosomal RNA (468 nucleotides) under uncultured bacterium. RNAcentral's name for it is "partial 16S ribosomal RNA". It matches the Rfam family "Bacterial small subunit ribosomal RNA", at positions 28 to 507 of the family's 1533-position model. The record is from RNAcentral.